RNAcentral lists this ribosomal RNA (253 nucleotides) under uncultured bacterium. Its description in RNAcentral is "partial 16S ribosomal RNA". It matches the Rfam family "Bacterial small subunit ribosomal RNA", at positions 524 to 776 of the family's 1533-position model. The record is from RNAcentral.
UACGUAGGGACCGAGCGUUGUCCGGAUUCAUUGGGCGUAAAGAGCUCGUAGGCGGCCACUCAAGUCGAAUGUGAAACCUCGAGGCUUAACCUCGAGCCUGCAUUCGAUACUGGGCGGCUAGAGUCUGGUAGGGGGAUCUGGAAUUCCUGGUGUAGCGGUGGAAUGCGUAGAUAUCAGGAGGAACACCGGUGGCGAAGGCGGGAUCCUGGGCCAGUACUGACGCUGAGGAGCGAAAGCGUGGGGAGCAAACAGG